CUUUAGGUAAUUCGAUCAUUAGGUAUACCGAGUUUAGGUAUUUCGUGCAUUAGGUAUAUCAGCAUUAGGUGUUUCGUGUAUUAGGUAUAUUAGCUUUAGGUAUUUCGAAUAUUAGGUGUUUCAACUUUAGGUAAAUCGACCAUAGGUAUCCUGAGCUUAGGUAAACCAGUUGUAGGUGAAACGUGCAAUAGGUAAUUCGUUCAUUAGGUGUUAUGAGCUUAGGUUAAUUGAUCAUUAGGUAUUUAAAAAAAUAGGUGAAACGAGCAUAGGUGAUUCAACAUUAGGUAAAUCGAUUUUCGGUAUUCUGAUAUUUACUUUCCCAAAGACACCGAUAUUCUAAUUAACUCCAUUUCGGGAAUAAUCAAUAAUUUGUUUUUUUCCUAUAAGGCCUCUACAAGCGUGUACACUUGCCUUAAGGCCGGUUUACAUAUUGAUUAGUGUUUAGAAUGAGUUCAUACAUUUGCUACUAAACUUAAGUACAAUCUCGGUCGAUCGAUGUUCGAAAUGACAUUGAUAUGUCGCAGAUUUCAAUGGUUUGGUUGAGUUAAAUGUAAUGCCCUUGUUACAACAACGCUAUAUGCUACAUUUAAUUACUUU
This is a long non-coding RNA of Cydia splendana, 597 nucleotides long. RefSeq lists it as uncharacterized. Lineage: Eukaryota; Metazoa; Arthropoda; Insecta; Lepidoptera; Tortricidae. The transcript is spliced from 2 exons. The record is from RefSeq and is a predicted model, not a curated record.